UAUUACUGGGGGCUGGAUGCUGGCAGUCUAUGAUUGCAUGUGCUCGCUCUCUUUAAUCUAACUUACACAUGUGCACUCAAUUUUGAAGACGAGGUAAAGCUUGUCUUUGGGAUUUUAUAAACUCUUACUCGAUGUAAUGAAUGUUUUUGUCUGCCGAAAGGCAAAAUUUAAUACAACUUUUAACAACGGAUCUCUUGGCUCUCGCAUCGAUGAAGAACGCAGCGAAAUGCGAUAAGUAAUGUGAAUUGCAGAAUWCAGUGAAUCAUCGAAUCUUUGAACGCACCUUGCGCUCUCUGGUAUUCCGGAGAGUACGCCUGUUCGAGUGUCAUGAAACUCUCAGGCAGAGAUAGCUUUGUUGCUGUUUUUGUUUGGAUUUGGACUUUGCUGUGCCAAUGCGGCUGGUCUUAAAUGUAUUAGCUGGUCCUAAUAUGGGGGUUUUGGUUCUACUCAGCGUGAUAAUUAUCUGACGCUGAGGACAGUCUUAGGACUGGCCAGAGCUUAUGUUUGGAUUGCUUCUAAUUGUCCCUUGGACAUACUGUUCAAUUGUCUGACCUCGGAUCAGGUGGGAUUACCCGCUGAACUUAAGCAUAUCAAUAAGCGGAGGAA
RNAcentral lists this small RNA (606 nucleotides) under uncultured fungus. RNAcentral describes it as "eukaryotic LSU rRNA". The stretch from base 175 to 328 matches the Rfam family "5.8S ribosomal RNA". Lineage: Eukaryota; Fungi. The record is from RNAcentral.